RNAcentral lists this ribosomal RNA (313 nucleotides) under Pseudomonas aeruginosa. RNAcentral's name for it is "partial 23S ribosomal RNA". It matches the Rfam family "Bacterial large subunit ribosomal RNA", at positions 2618 to 2925 of the family's 2925-position model. Lineage: Bacteria; Pseudomonadati; Pseudomonadota; Gammaproteobacteria; Pseudomonadales; Pseudomonadaceae. The record is from RNAcentral.
GUCGUGAGACAGUUCGGUCCCUAUCUGCCGUGGGCGCUGGAGAAUUGAGGGGGGCUGCUCCUAGUACGAGAGGACCGGAGUGGACGCAUCACUGGUGUUCGGGUUGUCAUGCCAAUGGCACUGCCCGGUAGCUAAAUGCGGAAGAGAUAAGUGCUGAAAGCAUCUAAGCACGAAACUUGCCCCGAGAUGAGUUCUCCCUGAGACUUUAAGUCUCCUGAAGGAACGUUAAAGACGAUGACGUUGAUAGGCCGGGUGUGUAAGCGCAGCGAUGCGUUGAGCUAACCGGUACUAAUGAACCGUGAGGCUUAACCUU